GGAAGUACAGGGCAUCAUUUCAGAAAAAGGUGGAGGCCUAAAAACAAAACCAUGUUUUUGGCCCGAUUCCUGAUUAGGAGUGAGGAAACUCAGGCUUUUUCAGUAACUUUCAGAUUUUUUCCCAAUCCUUCUACCCUGAGACAAGAUUUUAUAAAGGUCCUAGUCCAUGAAUUUUCCCCAGCCCAUUAAAUACCUCACCAGCUCCCCUUCUCCUCAUGCUCCCAAACUGGCGUUUAUUCUUAUUCCAGGAGAUGCUGUAAUGGGUGAUCUACAGCGCUGAGAUGAGGAAAAUGGGGGCAGACCAGCACGUUUAAGGUCAUUCCAUUCCUGUUGUCUAUCUUUCACCUGAAGACCCCCACUCAUCUUUUCAAAUAUCCACUCAGCAUGACUAAGCCACAGGCACAUUGUAAUGUGCUGGGGGCACAUUAGAAAAUAAAGAAAUGGUUUUUACCAACAUGGAACUUAGCAGAAGGAAAAGCCCCAAAAAAGGAAAGAAAAAAUAUGUGAUUAAUUACAAAUAAUAACUUUUAUGAAAGAAAUUCUGUACAGUGACAGAAAAUAACAAGGAGAGAAUGUGUUUAGAGUGAAUAGUUAGAAAAGGCCUCUCUGAGGUGCUGAAGUUGAAGCACAGGCCUGAAGGAUGAGAAGUCAGAUGUAUUAAUAGCAGAGGAGAGGGUUGGGUGUGGUGGCUCAUGCUUGUAAUCCCAGCACUUUGGGAGGCCAAGGCGGGCGGAUCACCUGAGAUCAGGAGUUCGAGACCAGCCUGGCCAACAUGGUGAAACCCCAUCUCUACUAAAAAUACAAAAAUUAGCCAGGUGUGGUGGCACACACCUGUAAUCCCAGGUACUCAGGAGGCUGAGGCAAGAGAAUCGCUUGAGCCUGGAGGCAGAGGUUGCAGUGAGCUGAGAUCGCACCACUGCACUCCAGCCUGGAUGACAAAGCAAAACUCAGUAAAAAAGCAGAGGAGAGAUCAUUCCAGGAAGAGAAUGCGGGUUAUGUAAAGACUCUGAGACACAAAAGGUGCUGAGUUGUUUGAGAACUUAAAAAGAGGCAGUGUGGCAGGAGUUAACUUUUGGACAAGAGACAUUUGCAAUGCCUGUGAGGUAUCCAAAGGGAGAUGUCAAGUAGACAGUUGAAUUCACCAAAGUGAGUCAGGGAAGUUUUAGCUGGAGAUAUUCAUUUGGUGUCAUCAGAACAUAAAUGUUAUUUAAAGCCACGGGGAUAGACAAGAUUGCUUAGGGAGAUAAUAUGAAGAAAGACAAGAGGAGGACCCAGGACCAAGUCAUGAGGAACUCCACACUUGUCUCAGGUGGAAAAGAAGGCAUCUUCAGAGAAGGCUGAGAAGUAGCAGCCAGAGAGAAGUCUCUUCCUUUCACUCUGCUGAGUGAAGCCCUUCCUGCCCUCAGGCUGGACCAUGGCUUCCAUGCUGCCCCUCUUUUCAAGGCUGCUUGUCUACAGUGAGCCCUGGUAUUCCUUGAACAUGCAUACCUUUCCCAGCGUGAGGGACAUGGACCGUGCCGUGCGAGGGACCCCAUCUUCUGCAGCAGGAGGGAGCAGAGAAGAGAACACAGGGAUUCCUGUUGCUAAAAGGUCUGUUUUCUCCUGCUAGCCACCCUCAUCAGCCAGAGUUCAAACCCUGACAGUGCCCAUGGAGAGAUCUGGUCCAAGGCACCAACCUCUUCCUGCUGGACUGAGAAAGAGCCUCCUACUGUGUCUCUCUUUACCUCAGCUUUUGCACACCUCCAAUAUAUUGUCCACUGAAGUCAGAAUAAUCUAAAAAUAAAGGCUGAUUACCUCAUGUGGUAUAAACUU
Molecule: long non-coding RNA, 1812 nt
Filed under: Homo sapiens (human)
Lineage: Eukaryota; Metazoa; Chordata; Mammalia; Primates; Hominidae
Description: HSALNT0361336
Source: RNAcentral